GAUGAACGCUGGCGGCGUGCCUAAUACAUGCAAGUCGAGCGAACGGACGAGAAGCUUGCUUCUCUGAUGUUAGCGGCGGACGGGUGAGUAACACGUGGAUAACCUACCUAUAAGACUGGGAUAACUUCGGGAAACCGGAUCUAAUACCGGAUAAUAUUUUGAACCGCUUGGUUCAAAAGUGAAAGACGGUCUUGCUGUCACUUAUAGAUGUAUCCGCGCUGCAUUAGCUAGUUGGUAAGGUAACGGCUUACCAAGGCAACGAUGCAUAGCCGACCUGAGAGGGUGAUCGGCCACACUGGAACUGAGACACGGUCCAGAAUCCUACGGGAGGCAGCAGUAGGGAAUCUUCCGCAAUGGGCGAAAGCCUGACGGAGCAACGCCGCGUGAGUGAUGAAGGUCUUCGGAUCGUAAAACUCUGUUAUUAGGGAAGAACAUAUGUGUAAGUAACUGUGCACAGCUUGACGGUACCUAAUCAGAAAGCCACGGCUAACUACGUG
RNAcentral lists this ribosomal RNA (497 nucleotides) under uncultured bacterium. RNAcentral's name for it is "partial 16S ribosomal RNA". It matches the Rfam family "Bacterial small subunit ribosomal RNA", at positions 28 to 507 of the family's 1533-position model. The record is from RNAcentral.